The sequence is a transfer RNA, 91 nucleotides long. It matches the Rfam family "tRNA". Rfam says of the family: Transfer RNA (tRNA) molecules are approximately 80 nucleotides in length. The record is from Rfam.
GGUUGCGUAGUGUAGAGGUUAUCACCAUGGAUUCUGAUUUUUAAUUGAUCUGGACAUUCCAUAAACCCCGGUUCGAAUCCGGGCGCGACCG